This 429-nucleotide ribosomal RNA is filed under the name Chloroflexota bacterium. RNAcentral's name for it is "Chloroflexi bacterium partial 16S ribosomal RNA". It matches the Rfam family "Bacterial small subunit ribosomal RNA", at positions 355 to 776 of the family's 1533-position model. Lineage: Bacteria; Bacillati; Chloroflexota. The record is from RNAcentral.
UGGGGAAUAUUGCACAAUGGGCGCAAGCCUGAUGCAGCCAUGCCGCGUGUAUGAAGAAGGCCUUCGGGUUGUAAAGUACUUUCAGUCGGGAGGAAGGUGGUAAGGUUAAUAACCUUAUCAAUUGACGUGACCGACAGAAGAAGCACCGGCUAACUCCGUGCCAGCAGCCGCGGUAAUACGGAGGGUGCAAGCGUUAAUCGGAAUUACUGGGCGUAAAGCGCACGCAGGCGGUUGAUUGAGUCAGAUGUGAAAUCCCCGGGCUUAACCCGGGAAUUGCAUCUGAUACUGGCAAGCUUGAGUCUCGUAGAGGGGGGUAGAAUUCCAGGUGUAGCGGUGAAAUGCGUAGAGAUCUGGAGGAAUACCGGUGGCGAAGGCGGCCCCCUGGACGAAGACUGACGCUCAGGUGCGAAAGCGUGGGGAGCAAACAGG